Molecule: ribosomal RNA, 287 nt
Filed under: uncultured bacterium
Lineage: Bacteria
Description: partial 16S ribosomal RNA
Rfam family: Bacterial small subunit ribosomal RNA
Source: RNAcentral
UACACCUACGGGGGGCAGCAGUGGGGAAUAUUGCACAAUGGGGGGGAACCCUGAUGCAGCGACGCCGCGUGGGUGAAGGAGUAUUUCGGUAUGUAAAGCCCUAUCAGCAGGGAAGAACAAUGACGGUACCUGACUAAGAAGCACCGGCUAAAUACGUGCCAGCAGCCGCGGUAAUACGUAUGGUGCAAGCGUUAUCCGGAUUUACUGGGGGUAAAGGGAGCGAAGGCGGCGCGUUAAGCCUGGUGUGAAAGCCCGCGGCCAAACCGCGGGACUGCAUUGGGAACGGG